RNAcentral lists this ribosomal RNA (836 nucleotides) under Brevundimonas sp. AKB-2008-VA7. RNAcentral's name for it is "bacterial SSU rRNA". It matches the Rfam family "Bacterial small subunit ribosomal RNA", at positions 8 to 892 of the family's 1533-position model. The record is from RNAcentral. Lineage: Bacteria; Pseudomonadati; Pseudomonadota; Alphaproteobacteria; Caulobacterales; Caulobacteraceae.
AGAGUUUAUCCUGGCUCAGAGCGAACGCUGGCGGCAGGCCUAACACAUGCAAGUCGAACGAACUCUUCGGAGUUAGUGGCGGACGGGUGAGUAACACGUGGGAACGUGCCUUUAGGUUCGGAAUAACUCAGGGAAACUUGUGCUAAUACCGAAUGUGCCCUUCGGGGGAAAGAUUUAUCGCCUUUAGAGCGGCCCGCGUCUGAUUAGCUAGUUGGUGAGGUAAAGGCUCACCAAGGCGACGAUCAGUAGCUGGUCUGAGAGGAUGAUCAGCCACAUUGGGACUGAGACACGGCCCAAACUCCUACGGGAGGCAGCAGUGGGGAAUCUUGCGCAAUGGGCGAAAGCCUGACGCAGCCAUGCCGCGUGAAUGAUGAAGGUCUUAGGAUUGUAAAAUUCUUUCACCGGGGACGAUAAUGACGGUACCCGGAGAAGAAGCCCCGGCUAACUUCGUGCCAGCAGCCGCGGUAAUACGAAGGGGGCUAGCGUUGCUCGGAAUUACUGGGCGUAAAGGGAGCGUAGGCGGACAUUUAAGUCAGGGGUGAAAUCCCGGGGCUCAACCUCGGAAUUGCCUUUGAUACUGGGUGUCUUGAGUAUGAGAGAGGUGUGUGGAACUCCGAGUGUAGAGGUGAAAUUCGUAGAUAUUCGGAAGAACACCAGUGGCGAAGGCGACACACUGGCUCAUUACUGACGCUGAGGCUCGAAAGCGUGGGGAGCAAACAGGAUUAGAUACCCUGGUAGUCCACGCCGUAAACGAUGAUUGCUAGUUGUCGGGAUGCAUGCAUUUCGGUGACGCAGCUAACGCAUUAAGCAAUCCGCCUGGGGAGUACGGUCGCAAG